Molecule: ribosomal RNA, 301 nt
Filed under: uncultured bacterium
Lineage: Bacteria
Description: partial 16S ribosomal RNA
Rfam family: Bacterial small subunit ribosomal RNA
Source: RNAcentral
CAGCCGCCGCGGUAAUACGGAGGGUGCAAGCGUUAUCCGGAUUUAUUGGGUUUAAAGGGUCCGUAGGCGGACUUAUAAGUCAGUGGUGAAAGCCUGUCGCUUAACGAUAGAACUGCCAUUGAUACUGUAAGUCUUGAGUAUAUUUGAGGUAGCUGGAAUAAGUAGUGUAGCGGUGAAAUGCAUAGAUAUUACUUAGAACACCAAUUGCGAAGGCAGGUUACCAAGAUAUAACUGACGCUGAGGGACGAAAGCGUGGGUAGCGAACAGGAUUAGAGACCCCGGUAGUCCCUGUCUCUAUACA